RNAcentral lists this long non-coding RNA (299 nucleotides) under Gossypium barbadense (sea-island cotton). RNAcentral describes it as "long non-coding RNA (GBAR_LNC017270)". The record is from RNAcentral. Lineage: Eukaryota; Viridiplantae; Streptophyta; Magnoliopsida; Malvales; Malvaceae.
UUUAGGCUAGUAAAAUCAUCUGGAAGUCAUCAAUUCUCUUAUUUCUUUUUUUUUAAAUGCCAAAUCAAGAAGAUAACUAAUUCAAUCAGCCUUUCAUCGUUUCCAUAUCCCUUUAUUCAACCGAUCCACCUCAUUGUGAUCACAUAACGCUUCAUUCAUUAAAUUCACUCGGAAGGCUGCAACUUGCUGCUUCUUUCUCACGAAAAUCAGCCUUUAAUUUCCAGCUAAACAUCACCCCAAAUUGGCCAACAUAUGUCGAAAUUAUGAUGAACUUCCAAACUGAAUUAACUAGCCUAAUA